RNAcentral lists this ribosomal RNA (1399 nucleotides) under uncultured bacterium. RNAcentral describes it as "bacterial SSU rRNA". It matches the Rfam family "Bacterial small subunit ribosomal RNA". The record is from RNAcentral.
AGAGUUUGAUCCUGGCUCAGGAUGAACGCUAGCUACAGGCUUAACACAUGCAAGUCGAGGGGCAGCAUGGUGGAUGCUUGCAUUCACCGAUGGCGACCGGCGUAUGGGUGAGUAACGCGUAUCCAACCUGGCGUGCACACCGGCACAGCCCCUGGAAACGGGGAUUAAUUCCGGAUGGCGUGGACUAGGCGCAUGCCUAUUCCACUAAAGGUAUUCCGGUGCACGAUGGGGAUGCGUUCCAUUAGGCAGUUGGCGGGGUAACGGCCCACCAAGCCUUCGAUGGAUAGGGGUUCUGAGAGGAAGGUCCCCCACACUGGAACUGAGACACGGUCCAGACUCCUACGGGAGGCAGCAGUGAGGAAUAUUGGUCAAUGGCCGGAAGGCUGAACCAGCCAAGUAGCGUGAGGGAUGACAGCCCUACGGGUUGUAAACCUCUUUUGUCCGGGAAUAAAACGGGGGACGCGUCCCCCCUUGCAUGUACCGGUUGAAUAAGGGCCGGCUAAUUCCGUGCCAGCAGCCGCGGUAAUACGGAAGGCCCGAGCGUUAUCCGGAUUUAUUGGGUUUAAAGGGAGCGUAGGCGGGAUUCUAAGCCAGCCGUUAAAUGAUGGGGCUCAACCCCGUCCUGCGGUUGGAACUGGCGUCCUUGAGUUGGGUGCAUGAAGGUGGAAUUCGUGGUGUAGCGGUGAAAUGCAUAGAUAUCACGAGGAACUCCGAUAGCGAAGGCAGCCUUCAGUGCCUCUACUGACGCUGACGCUCGAAGGCGCGGGUAUCAAACAGGAUUAGAUACCCUGGUAGUCCGCGCAGUAAACUAUGGACACUCGCGGUGUGGGCAUUGUCUUGCGCCGCUUAGCGAAAGCGUUAAGUGUCCCACCUGGGGAGUACGCCGGCAACGGUGAAACUCAAAGGAAUUGACGGGGGCCCGCACAAGCGGAGGAACAUGUGGUUUAAUUCGAUGAUACGCGAGGAACCUUACCCGGGCUUGAAAUGUGCAUGACUUCCGGCAGAGACGCCGGUUUCCUUCGGGCAUGCAUGUAGGUGCUGCAUGGUUGUCGUCAGCUCGUGCCGUGAGGUGUCGGCUUAAGUGCCAUAACGAGCGCAACCCCUUCCGCCGGUUACCAUCGGGUCAUGCCGGGGACUCCGGCGGCACUGCCAUCGCAAGAUGCGAGGAAGGUGGGGAUGACGUCAAAUCAGCACGGCCCUUACGUCCGGGGCCACACACGUGUUACAAUGGGGGGCACAGCAAGCAGGGUCGCGGCGACGCGUCCCGAAUCCUGAAAUCCCCUCCCAGUUCGGACUGGAGUCUGCAACCCGACUCCACGAAGCUGGAUUCGCUAGUAAUCGCGCAUCAGCCAUGGCGCGGUGAAUACGUACCCGGGCCUUGCACUCACCGCCCGUCAAG